GCGUAAUAGCUCACUGGUCGAGUCGGCCUGCGCGGAAGAUGUAACGGGGCUAAACCAUGCACCGAAGCUGCGGCAGCGACACUGUGUGUUGUUGGGUAGGGGAGCGUUCUGUAAGCCUGUGAAGGUGGCCUGUGAGGGUUGCUGGAGGUAUCAGAAGUGCGAAUGCUGACAUAAGUAACGAUAAAGCGGCUGAAACGCCGGCUCGGCGGAUGUCUG
This 216-nucleotide ribosomal RNA is filed under the name Salmonella enterica subsp. enterica serovar Norwich. RNAcentral's name for it is "partial 23S ribosomal RNA". It matches the Rfam family "Bacterial large subunit ribosomal RNA", at positions 1132 to 1347 of the family's 2925-position model. The record is from RNAcentral. Lineage: Bacteria; Pseudomonadati; Pseudomonadota; Gammaproteobacteria; Enterobacterales; Enterobacteriaceae.